RNAcentral lists this long non-coding RNA (1786 nucleotides) under Strigops habroptila (Kakapo). RNAcentral describes it as "lncRNA (ENSSHBG00005002482.1)". Lineage: Eukaryota; Metazoa; Chordata; Aves; Psittaciformes; Psittacidae. The record is from RNAcentral.
AUUGCCAACCAGCUGCCAGCGAGGCUACACCCUGCCAUGUAUUUCAGGUCUUGGCAGUAUGCGUCCAGCAAAAUGACAGAAAAGAGGAGGAUGGCCAGCUGUUCCAGAUUUGUGGAUUACCAAACCUUCACAGCAGAAACUGUAUUUUGCUUCAGUAGCAGAAAAGGCCCAUUUUAAACUCCCGGCAAGUUUCUUCCUUGCUUAAUCAAAAACAAAUUGCGACUAAUUCCACCAGCAGCAAUGGCAAUAUGCCUCAAGGACCAGGCAGCUUCUACUUACUGUAUAUAUGGAGUCCUAUUACCUUGUAGGACUACUUCUUGAAAACAGCUAGGAAGAUUAAACCAGGCUUUUUGGAUGGACAUCUUGUUGCACUGACUUAGUAUAUUACUUGCUUAGCUACAGCCAUGCAGAAGACUGCACAGUAGCAAGCCAAAGAAGCAAGCAAGUAUUUUCCUGUUGACCACAGAAGGCACAAGGAAGCAGAAAUGGCUUCCAGCCACCUUGGUAGCUUGUGGAGUUCAGGUUACUGCAAGGACUGAAGACAUCCACUGGAAGAAAGAAACUCUUCAGGGCUCUCUGAUGCACAGCAGCAGCCUCCCGGGAGAAUCGCCUGCAAUGUGGGACAAAAUACAGGAAAACAAUUGAGGAAAUGGUCAGUGAUAAGGGGAAGAGGUAGACUGACUUGAUGGUUCUUAUCUUAGUGGCUUGGUGUACCUGCACUAAUCCUGGAUGAAUCAACAUGGUUAGUCCAUUGCAGUCAAUCUCCCUGGAGUUUUUCAUACCCAAAGAAGCUCAGCAUUGUUCUGUGCAGGACAUGUUGGGAGACAGGAUGGAGAAGAAGAGCCAGCAUCACUAUGCCUGCAUCUCUGUUGUGAAACAAUGCUUGUUUUCGUCAGUGGUGCUCCAGAGAACGCAGACACCUUUUCUUCCAACACUGUUUCCUGCAGUGGUGCUCCGGCAAGAUCAUUGUGGCCUAGGGCUACAACCUGAGCACUGCUUGAUCUGGGGCUUCCUCCAUGACAUAUAAAAUAGGGCUUGAGCUCCAGCCAAGUGGUGUCAGUGGUGAGGGUGCAGCCUCGUCAGCCUGUUAUGGCUUGUGACUCCCGGCAGCUCUGGUGCAAGAUGGGUAAUCGCACCAACAGACAGGUAAAUAAGCAGGGUCAUGCUACCUGGAUCCCACCUACGUGGGGGAAUAGCUUGCCCAGGAGUUGCUUCCUGCUGAGAGGAAGUGAAGGAAAGACUGCUAACCAAUCCCAUCCCACAAAUCUGGCAGUAGCAGAAGUGUGGUGCUGUGUUGGCCACGCUGUGGGAAGAUGGCUGUGUGCGAGCCCAGGCCUGCAUGGAGAGUGGCGUGUGUGCUGCUGUGCACGUACUGAGCCAGCUAUCCCAGAUAGCUUGGAUAGGUGGGAGAUACGGCCCAAACCCUUCAUAAACCAGACCCUCUGCAGAAGGACCUGGGAAGGUGAAGACAUGUUAAGAAGUAGAAGCCUUGACUGGACUUUCUGUCAUAUCCUUUGUCAUCUCCCAAGUAACAAGUGAUAGGAUAAGAGGAAAUGGCCUCAAGUUGUUCCAGGAGAGGUUUAGAUUGGAUAUUGGGAAAAAUAUCUUCAUCAGAAGGGUUGUCAAGCACCGGAACAGGCUGCCCACGGAAGUGAUGGAGUCACCAUCCCUGGAGUUAUUUAAAAGAUAUGUAGAUGUGGCACUUAGGCACAUGGUUUAGUGGCACUUUGACAGUGUUGGAUUAAUGGUUGGAAUUGAUGAUUUUAAAGGUGUUUCCCAACCUAAA